RNAcentral lists this ribosomal RNA (325 nucleotides) under uncultured eukaryote. RNAcentral's name for it is "partial 18S ribosomal RNA". It matches the Rfam family "Eukaryotic small subunit ribosomal RNA", at positions 1470 to 1796 of the family's 1831-position model. The record is from RNAcentral.
CCCUUAGAUGUUCUGGGCCGCACGCGCGCUACACUGAUGCAUUCAACGAGCCUAUCCUUGACCGACAGGUCCGGGUAAUCUUUGAAUCUGCAACGUGACGGGGAUAGAUUAUUGCAAUUAUUAAUCUUCAACGAGGAAUGCCUAGUAGGCGCAAGUCAUCAGCUUGCGUCGAUUACGUCCCUGCCCUUUGUACACACCGCCCGUCGCUCCUACCGAUUGGGUGUGCUGGUGAAAUGUUCGGAUCGGCCGUUUGUCGCGGUUUCCGCGUCAUGUGGCUGAGAAGUUCAUUAAACCCUCCCACCUAGAGGAAGGAGAAGUCGUAACA